Molecule: unclassified non-coding RNA, 1311 nt
Filed under: Dendronephthya gigantea
Lineage: Eukaryota; Metazoa; Cnidaria; Anthozoa; Malacalcyonacea; Nephtheidae
Description: snRNA-activating protein complex subunit 3-like, transcript variant X4
Source: RNAcentral
GUUUUUUAAGUUCUCUUCGCUGGUAAAUAUAAAGGAUUUCAAAAAAGAAAUGACCUCAACACUUGAUGUUGAGGAUAUUAGUCUUGAAGAAAAUGUUAGAGAUCGAUCAAAACUUUUGGACAACAUAGCCCAGGACACCUUACAAGAAGUUGAAGAUGUUUGUAGUCCAAGUAAUCUUAAGUGUAAAGAUGUGGAUAUAGAUAGGAUGGAUGCCACAAGUAAGACAAUAUAUCUCUCCGAAACAAAUCUAGCCACUCUAAACGUGUUACCUGAAUCCAGGAGUUCUCGCAGAGCAUCAUUCAAACAGAAGAAUUAUAUCAUCCUUUCAGAACAGCUUCAAAAGGCGAAAGCAGCUGUCACCGGUCAUAAAAUAGAUGUACCAGAAGUUGUCCUCUCUGUAGCACUAUAUCAUCCCGUGAAGUUAAGAAAAGUUCAAGAAUUUUUGGUACUUGGAAGACAGACAUUAACUGAUUUACGUGACAAAAUAUAUUGUCCCGCGGAUUCUAUUGUUGUCGGGGAGCACAGCGAGAAUCCCGAUUUUGCAAGAAUCGCUACAGGCAAGGAUAUUUGCCCGUCUGCUUUUAUAUUCAUUGAGAGUGUUUUCUACAAUGACACAAGAAGCGAUUUAUGUCGAGAUUAUAGCAAACUCAUAAUGGAUUGGACUAACAAAAAACACAAUGGCGAGCUACCUCGAUACGGUGUUUGUUCAAGCAAGAAAAUGGAAGAGACAAAGUUUGAGGAUUUAACAAUUAAACUUGGCUAUCCCUAUGUUUUUGUGCACCAGGGUGAUUGUGAGCAUUUGCUAUUGUUUCGUGAUUUAAGAAUGUUACAUGCGGAUGAUCCACAAGAUGUUUGUAACUAUCCAUUUCACAUAUUUCGUCCACGACCAAAGAGACAAAGAUGUAUGAUUUGUUCAAUAUACAGCGCCAGGUGGCUAACGCGAGAUGAUCUAUUAAUGUCGGAAGACCCAAGUUUGUUUUGUGAAAAAUGCUUCAAGGCUUUACACUACAGGGACAAUCAGAAAGCGUAUCCAUUCAGUGCUUAUCAAUACUCUGGCGACUAUUACUGGUAAUCACAGGAAAUGAAUUAAUGAUGCUUUUUCCAAAAAAUCGUCAUCCCCACAAAUUUACUUGUGUGCAAAGCCCGACUGGUUAUGGAUGGAUGAAGGCGUCGACGCUUCAGUUUCAGUGUGAAAGUUGUGUUGUAAAUUGGAGCCCUCAUUCUGCUGCGUUAGGCAACAACCCUCUGCAGUCAAAUUUGUUUCCGCAACAACUUGGUCAUAUCUGUGCGCAGAGAGAGAAGAGAGAGAGA